Molecule: unclassified non-coding RNA, 893 nt
Filed under: Hevea brasiliensis (rubber tree)
Lineage: Eukaryota; Viridiplantae; Streptophyta; Magnoliopsida; Malpighiales; Euphorbiaceae
Source: RNAcentral
UCUCUCUCUCUCUCUCUCACAUAUCAGGGUCUUCUCCUCCACUUCUCUCUCUCUAAUGUAUGUGUGCAGGAAACCAAAUCCCUUCCUCUGCGAAUCAAAGAAAAUUGGGAAUCGAAGCCAAGCCUCCCCUCUAUGAAUCAUAGCCAAUCUACUCCCCCUUGCUAUUUCCAGUGAAGAUCGAGGGAUGCUAUCAUGGAGGGGAGAGGAGGAAUGGCAUUGGUGGAGCUCCGAGUUCCUCUCUCUCUCUCAAUUUUUUGAGAUUGAAGAAGCCUUUGAUGCAAAUCUUCUUGCUAUAAUGAAUUGAAAUUGUUGAAUCCUUUGAUGCAAAAAAUGUAAAAUUCUAACCGUAGCUUAAAAAAAAUUGUAAGUUGACACAGAGAGAGAAUUUCCUUUAUUUUUUAUUUUUUUAACAGUGUUAAGUCAAUUUAUUUAUUUAUUUUUAAUUAACUCCAUUGGAAAAGGAUAAAAUGUAAAAAACAAUAAAAAUCCAGGGACUGAAUGUAAAAACAAAAGUCCAAGGAUGCAAAGUGACCAAACAAAACUAUGGUGACUUGAUAAAAAGAAAGAAGUCCAGGAACCUAAAGAUGCAUUUGUCUUCUUUAUUUUUUUUUAAGGGUGUUAAGUCAAUUUAAUAUUUUUUAUUAAAUCCAUUAGAAAAUGAUACAAUGUAAAAAACGAUAAAAGUCUAGACACUCAAUGCAAAAAAUAAAAGUCUAAGGAUGCAAAGUGACCAAAUAAAACUAUGGGGAUUGAAAAAUAAGUUCAGGGACCUAAAGAUGCAUUUUGCCUAAAAUAAAAUGAAGUCUGGCCAAAAUGAUUUAGAACAGUGUUCUGGUGAUCUGCAAAUGCUUUAUAGAUAUUGGAAGAAUACCUGAGUUGACAGCACAGACAAU